UACGGAGGAUGCAAGCGUUAUCCGGAAUGAUUGGGCGUAAAGCGUCCGCAGGUGGCUGUGUAAGUCUGCUGUCAAAGAGCAAAGCUCAACUUUGUAAAGGCAGUGGAAACUACACGGCUAGAGUGCGUUCGGGGCAGAGGGAAUUCCUGGUGUAGCGGUGAAAUGCGUAGAGAUCAGGAAGAACACCUGUGGCGAAGGCGCUCUGCUAGGCCGCAACUGACACUGAGGGACGAAAGCUAGGGGAGCGAAUGGG
This 253-nucleotide ribosomal RNA is filed under the name uncultured bacterium. Its description in RNAcentral is "partial 16S ribosomal RNA". It matches the Rfam family "Bacterial small subunit ribosomal RNA", at positions 524 to 776 of the family's 1533-position model. The record is from RNAcentral.